This is a long non-coding RNA of Astyanax mexicanus (Mexican tetra), 228 nucleotides long. RefSeq lists it as uncharacterized. The transcript has 3 exons. The record is from RefSeq and is a predicted model, not a curated record. Lineage: Eukaryota; Metazoa; Chordata; Actinopteri; Characiformes; Acestrorhamphidae.
UCCAGUGUCCUUUCUCGUACAGUCCAGUGUUUUGAGGUAGUCUCCAGUGUCCUUUCUCGUACAGUCCAGUGUUUUGAGGUAGUCUCCAGUGUCCUUUCUCGUACAGUCCAGUGUUUUGAGGUAGUCUCCAGUGUCCUUUCUCGUACAGUCCAGUGUUUUGAGGAAGUCUCCAUUGUGAUUUUUGUACAGUCCAGUGUUUUGAGGUAGUCUCCAGUGUGAUUUUUGUAC